GACGAACGCUGGCGGCGUGCUUAACACAUGCAAGUCGAACGGAAAGGCCCUGCUUUUGUGGGGUGCUCGAGUGGCGAACGGGUGAGUAACACGUGAGUAACCUGCCCUUGACUUUGGGAUAACUUCAGGAAACUGGGGCUAAUACCGGAUAGGAGCUCCUGCUGCAUGGUGGGGGUUGGAAAGUUUCGGCGGUUGGGGAUGGACUCGCGGCUUAUCAGCUUGUGGGUGGGGUAGUGGCUUACCAAGGCUUUGACGGGUAGCCGGCCUGAGAGGGUGACCGGCCACAGUGGGACUGAGAUACGGCCCAGACUCCUACGGGAGGCAGCAGUGGGGAAUAUUGCACAAUGGGCGGAAGCCUGAUGCAGCAUCUCCGCGUGCGGGAUGACUGCCUUCGGGUUGUAAACCGCUUUCGCCUGUGACGAAGCGUGAGUGACGGUAAUGUGUAAAGAAGCACCGGCUAACUACGUG
Molecule: ribosomal RNA, 468 nt
Filed under: uncultured bacterium
Lineage: Bacteria
Description: partial 16S ribosomal RNA
Rfam family: Bacterial small subunit ribosomal RNA
Source: RNAcentral